GACACUAUAGAAUACUCAAGCUAUGCAUCCAACGCGUUGGGAGCUCUCCCAUAUGGUCGACCUGCAGGCGGCCGCGAAUUCACUAGUGAUUAGAGUUUGAUCAUGGCUCAGAACGAACGCUGGCGGCGUGGAUUAGGCAUGCAAGUCGAACGGAACUUCUAGCUUUUUCGGAAGUUUAGUGGCGAAAGGGUGAGUAACACGUGGGUUACCUGCCCUAGGGUUCGGGAUAACCUGUCGAAAGACGGGCUAAUACCGGAUACGUCCUGCACUUUUCGAAGUGCAGGGGAAAGAUGGGGAUCCGUAAGGACCUAUCACCCUUGGAUGGGCCCGCGGCCUAUCAGCUAGUUGGUGAGGUAAUGGCUCACCAAGGCUAAGACGGGUAGCUGGUCUGAGAGGAUGGUCAGCCACACUGGAACUGAGACACUGUCCAGACACCUACGGGUGGCUGCAGUCGAGAAUCUUUCGCAAUGGGGGAAACCCUGACGACGCGACGCCGCGUGGAGGAUGAAGGCCUUCGGGUUGUAAACUCCUGUCAGCAGGGGAGAACAAGCUGUCGAUGAAUAAUCGAUAG
RNAcentral lists this ribosomal RNA (571 nucleotides) under uncultured bacterium. RNAcentral describes it as "bacterial SSU rRNA". The stretch from base 85 to 571 matches the Rfam family "Bacterial small subunit ribosomal RNA", at positions 1 to 467 of the family's 1533-position model. The record is from RNAcentral.